Molecule: ribosomal RNA, 443 nt
Filed under: uncultured bacterium
Lineage: Bacteria
Description: bacterial SSU rRNA
Rfam family: Bacterial small subunit ribosomal RNA
Source: RNAcentral
UAGGGAAUAUUGGUCAAUGGGUGCGAGCCUGAACCAGCCAUGCCGCGUGCAGGAAGAAGGCCUUCUGGGUUGUAAACUGCUUUUGCCGGGGGAUAAAAUGUCUGUGCGCAGAUAAUUGAAGGUACCUGGUGAAUAAGCCACGGCUAACUACGUGCCAGCAGCCGCGGUAAUACGUAGGUGGCAAGCGUUGUCCGGAUUUAUUGGGUUUAAAGGGUGCGUAGGCGGUUGAUUAAGUCAGUUGUGAAAUACGGUAGCUUAACUAUCGAGGUGCAAUUGAUACUGGUUGACUUGAGUACAGACGAGGUAGGCGGAAUUGACGGUGUAGCGGUGAAAUGCAUAGAUAUCGUCAAGAACACCGAUAGCGAAGGCAGCUUACUAGACUGUAACUGACGCUGAGGCACGAAAGUGUGGGGAUCAAACAGGAUUAGAUACCCCGGUAGUCC